UACGAAGGGUGCAAGCGUUACUCGGAAUCACUGGGCGUAAAGCGCACGUAGGCGGACUUACAGGUCAAUUGUGAAAUACCUGAGCUCAACUCAGGAACUGCAGUUGAAACCGUUUGUCUUGAAUACCUGAGAGGGUGGGGGAAUACCUGGUGGAGAAGUGAAAUUCGUAGAGAUCAGGUGGAACACCGGAGGCGAAGGCGCCUGACUGGCAGUGUAUUGACGCUGAGGUGCGAAAGUGCGGGGAGCAAACAGG
This 253-nucleotide ribosomal RNA is filed under the name uncultured bacterium. Its description in RNAcentral is "partial 16S ribosomal RNA". It matches the Rfam family "Bacterial small subunit ribosomal RNA", at positions 524 to 776 of the family's 1533-position model. The record is from RNAcentral.